AAUGUAAUUCAUACAUCGUUAAUGCACUGGAUCCCAUUAGAAAUCCACAGCUAAGCACACUUGGGAUAGAGUAGUAUUGGUAUGGGUGACCUCACGGGAAGUGCUAGUGUUUUCCAUA
This is a non-coding RNA of Picea glauca (white spruce), 118 nucleotides long. NCBI's taxonomy places the organism in Eukaryota, Viridiplantae, Streptophyta, Pinopsida, Pinales, Pinaceae. The record is from Rfam.